AAUUUUAAGCCCAAUCAGAAACAAUGUUGGAUAAGAGUCGCACUGAACCCAAUUGGCCGCCGGCAAACAGAGCCGGACUUGGUCGUCGGCGAUUUUGCGACCGUGUUAGCUCCGCUCCGCACACCUCCGCGAUUGCCCGAUAGCUGAAAGAUUUUACAGGAAUUCAAGAGUUCCUGAUUCACUGGUAUAAUAUAACAAAAAAGUAAGAUGAAGAUUUAAGCCUAUGACAGGGAUCCAAAAAAUCAAGGGUGAAGAUAGAAAAAUGGUCAAACCUAAUUAGAUUUUGGAAAACAUAAUAGGUGUCAGAAAUGUUAUAACAAAUUCUUCUAUAGAGGAGUUAUAUGUCAAAUUUGAAGGUGGAGAAAAACACAAGAAAUGGGAGAUUGAAUUGUGUUCUUUAUCAAAUUUUAGUUCCCUUUCUUUUAAAAUCUUUUCUUUCUUCUUGUAUCUCAUAUAUUGGAUAUGCUAUGAGUUACGAAGCGGAAUCAUAUUCAGAAGAAUAUGUGCAUAACCAAUGAGACGUUUCAUUUUAACUUCUAAAGAUUAUCAGAACUUCUGACUUGCUCAGUACAAUUCUGCAGAUUAAAGCUAGGAGGUUCUGAGUUAAAAUGACAUGUGCAGAAAAUAAAAGACACGUUUAUUUUUAUCCUGGUUCACCUUCUAAAUAAGGCUACCUCCAGUCCACUUUCUUCAGGUGAUUUGCCUCUCAACAGAGGUCUUAAUCCACUAUAACCAAUUCAUGAUUACAACUGCACGAACCUCCGUCGUGACUAACAAUCCUGCAUAGCCAACUGCUGUGACUAACCAUCUGGACAAUGACCCGUUCAGUGAUCUCCAUAAGAUACAACGUUCAUUGACUCAAGAAUCCUACACAGGCUAUCCGCUGUGACUAACCCUGCACAAGCCAACUGCUUGUGACUAACUACAAUGGACUGUUUAGUGAUCUCUUCGAGAUAUAACAUCCAUUGACUCCUGGACUCUUGACCUUCACUUGGUCUCCAAGAGAUUUGCACAAUGACCUCAGCCACUGUUUUCUCAAGCAUCAGACCUUCACUCGGUCGCUCAAGGCAUCAUUAACAAUUUAACUUGGUUUUCACAUAAUGCUUCUUAAUAAGCAGAUAUUCUGAUUACAAACUGUAUGACAAGUAACUUGUUUUAAUCAUUGAACUCUUCUUGUCUGCAUUUUCUGACAGAUCUUUGCUUCUUUGUGGUAAGUAGAGUAAGAUCAUUGUCCUUCAGCAGUGAGUGGUUCUUCAAGUUGAUCUUCGUCUUCACUUCUUCUGCUAAGCAGAUUAGAACAUCAGUUCUUAGUCAGGAUUGCUUCUUGCAUUGAUCUUCAACUUUCUUCUUUAAGCAGAUUAAGAACAACAAUUCUUAUUGAGAGUUGCUUCUUUGGUUCUUCUUCCUUUGAUUUUCUUCAUAAGCAGAUUAAGAACAGCAGUUUUUAUUGAGAGUUGCUUCUUUGAUUCUUCUUCUUUUGAUCUCCUUUAUAAGCAGAUUAAGAACAACAGUUCUUAUUGAGAGUUGUUUCUUUGAUUCUUCUUCCUUUGAUCUUUUUCGUAAGCAGAUUAAGAAUAACAGUUCUUAUUGAAAGUUGCUUCUUUGAUUCUUCUUCCUUUGAUCUUCUUCCUAAGUAGAUUAAGAACAACAGUUCUUAUUGAGAGUUGCUUCUUUGAUUCUUCUUGAGUAAUAAUUUGAAUGGGAGUCUUUAGGGAGACAAUAUUUCGAUCCUCUUUUAUUUAAGGCUCCAUUUAAUUUUCAUAGUUUUUCAUUUCUACAUCUUUUCCUAAAACCACACAUUUCAUAAGAGAUCUUACUUCUUUUUAUAGCUUUGAAAGUGUGUUCGUUGUCUUGAUCUUUGGAAAGCGUAAUAAAUGUAGGCGUGUUUGCACCGUGCUUUUGUUUUCUUCAAUGGACUGCAUGUAGGUUGCUUCUUCAAUCCACCUUGGGAGUUGUUCCUUUUAAUUGUUGUAACCGUUUUGCUAAUGAUGAUGUUUGUAACUGUUUUCUUCUUGAUUCUGAUCCUUUGUAUUUUAUUUGAUUUUGCAUG
Long non-coding RNA from Vicia villosa (hairy vetch), 2050 nucleotides. RefSeq lists it as uncharacterized. The transcript has 3 exons. The record is from RefSeq and is a predicted model, not a curated record. Lineage: Eukaryota; Viridiplantae; Streptophyta; Magnoliopsida; Fabales; Fabaceae.